UUGUAAAGCACUUUCAGUCGUGAGGAAGGUGGUAGUGUUAAUUAGCACUAUCAUUUGACGUUAGCGACAGAAGAAGCACCGGCUAACUCCGUGCCAGCAGCCGCGGUAAUACGGAGGGUGCGAGCGUUAAUCGGAAUUACUGGGCGUAAAGCGCAUGCAGGUGGUUUGUUUAAGUUACAGAUGUGAAAGACCCGGGGCGUCAACCUCGGAAUAGCAUUUGUAAACUGGCAGACUAGAGUACUGUAGAGGGGGGUAGGAAUUUCAGGUGUAGCGGUGAAAUGCGUAGAGAUCUGAAGGAAUACCGGUGGCGAAGGCGGCCCCCUCGGACAGAUACUGACACUCAGAUGCGAAAGCGUGGGGAGCAAACAGGAUUAGAUACCCCUGGUAG
RNAcentral lists this ribosomal RNA (388 nucleotides) under uncultured bacterium. Its description in RNAcentral is "bacterial SSU rRNA". It matches the Rfam family "Bacterial small subunit ribosomal RNA", at positions 423 to 793 of the family's 1533-position model. The record is from RNAcentral.